GCGGUAAUACCAGCUCUCCGAGUAGUGUGGAUGUUUAUUGGGCCUAAAGCAUCCGUAGCUUGCUAUGCAAGUCCUCUGUUAAAUCCACCGAUUCAAUCGUUGGAUUGCGGGGGAUACUGUUUGGCUAGGGGACGGGAGAGGCCGACGGUAUUUCCGGGGUAGGGGUGAAAUCCUAUAAUCCCGG
RNAcentral lists this ribosomal RNA (184 nucleotides) under uncultured archaeon. RNAcentral describes it as "partial 16S ribosomal RNA". It matches the Rfam family "Archaeal small subunit ribosomal RNA", at positions 467 to 651 of the family's 1478-position model. The record is from RNAcentral.